GACGAACGCUGGCGGCGUGCUUAACACAUGCAAGUCGAACGGAAAGGCCCUGCUUUUGUGGGGUGCUCGAGUGGCGAACGGGUGAGUAACACGUGAGUAACCUGCCCUUGACUUUGGGAUAACUUCAGGAAACUGGGGCUAAUACCGGAUAGGAGCUCCUGCUGCAUGGAGGGGGUUGGAAAGUUUCGGCGGUUGGGGAUGGACUCGCGGCUUAUCAGCUUGUUGGUGGGGUAGUGGCUUACCAAGGCUUUGACCGGUAGCCGGCCUGAGGGGGUGAACGGCGACAUUGGGACUGAGGUACGGACCAGAGUGCUACGGGAGGCAGCAGUGGGGAAUAUUGCACAAUGGGCGGAAGUCUGAGGCAGCAACGCCGCGUGCGGGAUGACGGCCUGCGGGUUGUGAACCGCUUUCGCCUGUGACGAAGCGUGAGUGACGGUAAUGGGUAAAGAAGCACCGGCUAACUACGUG
Molecule: ribosomal RNA, 468 nt
Filed under: uncultured bacterium
Lineage: Bacteria
Description: partial 16S ribosomal RNA
Rfam family: Bacterial small subunit ribosomal RNA
Source: RNAcentral